Molecule: ribosomal RNA, 253 nt
Filed under: uncultured bacterium
Lineage: Bacteria
Description: partial 16S ribosomal RNA
Rfam family: Bacterial small subunit ribosomal RNA
Source: RNAcentral
UACGUAGGGUGCAAGCGUUAAUCGGAAUUACUGGGCGUAAAGCGUGCGCAGGCGGUUGUGCAAGACAGAUGUGAAAUCCCCGGGCUCAACCUGGGAACUGCAUUUGUGACUGCACAGCUUGAGUGCGGCAGAGGGGGAUGGAAUUCCGCGUGUAGCAGUGAAAUGCGUAGAUAUGCGGAGGAACACCGAUGGCGAAGGCAAUCCCCUGGACCUGUACUGACGCUCAUGCACGAAAGCGUGGGGAGCAAACAGG